GACGAACGCUGGCGGCGUGCCUAAUACAUGCAAGUAGAACGCUGAAGGAGGAGCUUGCUUCUCUGGAUGAGUUGCGAACGGGUGAGUAACGCGUAGGUAACCUGCCUGGUAGCGGGGGAUAACUAUUGGAAACGAUAGCUAAUACCGCAUAAGAGUAGAUGUUGCAUGACAUUUGCUUAAAAGGUGCAAUUGCAUCACUACCAGAUGGACCUGCGUUGUAUUAGCUAGUUGGUGGGGUAACGGCUCACCAAGGCGACGAUACAUAGCCGACCUGAGAGGGUGAUCGGCCACACUGGGACUGAGACACGGCCCAGACUACUACGGGAGGCAGCAGUAGGGAAGCUUCGGCAAUGGACGGAAGUCUGACCGAGCAACGCCGCGUGAGUGAAGAAGGUUUUCGGAUCGUAAAGCUCUGUUGUAAGAGAAGAACGAGUGUGAGAGUGGAAAGUUCACACUGUGACGGUAUCUUACCAGAAAGGGACGGCUAACUACGUG
RNAcentral lists this ribosomal RNA (495 nucleotides) under uncultured bacterium. RNAcentral describes it as "partial 16S ribosomal RNA". It matches the Rfam family "Bacterial small subunit ribosomal RNA", at positions 28 to 507 of the family's 1533-position model. The record is from RNAcentral.